This 310-nucleotide small RNA is filed under the name Histoplasma ohiense. Its description in RNAcentral is "hypothetical lncRNA". Lineage: Eukaryota; Fungi; Ascomycota; Eurotiomycetes; Onygenales; Ajellomycetaceae. The record is from RNAcentral.
UAGCCAGUGCCCGGCUGAUUGGAAAGGGAGUAGAAAUCGACAAGGCGAAACUUAAAAAAAAAAAAAAAAAUUGGAGUGUUACUUAUACUUACCAUCUGCAUGGUAUCAAAUGAACGUGAACGUGAACGUGAACGUGCAUAGGCAAGAAAGAAACUCUAUAUUUCUAAAACCGCAUUUCCAGCGUCUUUUCCUAGUUUUAUUAAAUAAGAAACAGGUUGAAUAGAUCGAUUUAAUCAUAUGUUUCUCCCUGGUAUCUCGCAUCCUUAAGUACUUAAGCAGCCCAGCGGAAAAAGAAAAAAAAAAAAGAAGA